RNAcentral lists this ribosomal RNA (434 nucleotides) under uncultured bacterium. RNAcentral describes it as "bacterial SSU rRNA". It matches the Rfam family "Bacterial small subunit ribosomal RNA", at positions 954 to 1392 of the family's 1533-position model. The record is from RNAcentral.
GCUAAACGCGAAGAACCUUACCUGGGUUUGACAUGUAGAGAAAAGCCAUAGAGAUAUGGUGUCCUCGGGUUCGUACACAGUGGUGCAUGGUUGUCGUCAGCUCGUGUCGUGAGAUGUUGGGUUAAGUCCGCAACGAGCGCAACCCUUGUCCUAUGUUGCCAGCACGUCAUGGUGGGGACUCGUAGGAGACUGCCGGGGUCAACUCGGAGGAAGGUGGGGACGACGUCAAAUCAUCAUGCCCCUUAUAUCCAGGGCUGCAAACAUGCUACAAUGGCCGGUACAAAGGGCUGCGAAACCGCGAGGUGGAGCGAAUCCCAUAAAGCCGGUCUCAGUUCGGAUUGGAGUCUGCAACUCGACUCCAUGAAGCUGGAGUUGCUAGUAAUCCCGGAUCAGCAACGCCGGGGUGAAUACGUUCCCGGGUCUUGUACACACCG